CUAGAAAGGAAUUCCACCAUGUUUGCUCCUUACAGACCAAACCCUAGACCCUUCAGAGGUACAGGGACUCUCCUGGUUCCCUAAGAUAGUCUCGACAUUUCCUGUCCCUUUGCGGCUGUCUCACCCCCCUGCAGCCAACCAUACCCCUGACUAGGGUGUGCAGCACAACCGCCCCUGCCCCCAAAAACUACCCUGAGAAAGAUCCCUUUUCUCAGGUUCGUUCUCCACAACAGAACAGAUUGGAACUCCACUGAAUAUCAGGAGAGAAAAAAAAAGCAAUUAGGCAAUACCUACUCUGCCAAAGGAGAACCCAGUUACUGAACAUCGGAUGAGAACAUGGAUAGCAAAUUGGGAGUGAAGGUUCAUACCUGGGUCUCAGCACAGUACAGGAAUGCAGACAUCAGUACUACUCAAAGUGUGGUCCCAUAUUGAUCCCAUACUGAUCAACUGUCAUUGGCUGAUGGAGAGUUAUACCAGCCUGAGUAUGACAGCAACAUUCCUUUAGGGAUUAAAGAAAAUGCUUCAGAAGAUUGGAACACUGCUCAGCCUUCCCAAACUUCUUUUACCACUGAUGUUUCUACCUUAGUGAUCUUCCAUUUUGAUGCUUCUUUCUCUUUACACUUAAAAGUUCAUAAAAUCUUUCAACAUUAUUUUUCACUAUAAAAGUUUGAAGUUCUCUGUGAAAUGCCUACUAUGUAAGAAUUAAGAUAGAUUUUAAAGAUUGUUAGUCUCGAAACUCCAUGCUCAUCAGUUAGUGCAUGGUAUUAAAUUAUGCUUUUUUCCUCCUUUUAAAUAUACCAACAUUAUAUUGCUGA
Long non-coding RNA from Macaca mulatta (Rhesus monkey), 815 nucleotides. RefSeq lists it as uncharacterized. The record is from RefSeq and is a predicted model, not a curated record. Lineage: Eukaryota; Metazoa; Chordata; Mammalia; Primates; Cercopithecidae.